Molecule: ribosomal RNA, 269 nt
Filed under: uncultured prokaryote
Description: partial 16S ribosomal RNA
Rfam family: Bacterial small subunit ribosomal RNA
Source: RNAcentral
UACGAAGGGUGCAAGCGUUAAUCGGAAUUACUGGGCGUAAAGCGUGCGUAGGUGGUUGUUCAAGUCUGUCGUGAAAGCCCUGGGCGUCAACCUGGGAAGUUGCGAUGGAAACUAGGUCGACUUGAGUGCAGAAGAGGGAAGUGGAAUUCCACGUGUAGCGGUGAAAUGCGUAGAGAUAUGGAGGAACACCAGUGGCGAAGGCGGCUUCCUGGUCUGUAACUGACACUGAGGCGCGAAAGCGUGGGGAGGCAAACAGGAUUAGAUACCCU